GUGAAUCAUCGAAUCUUUGAACGCAAAUUGCACUCUCCUCGGAGAGUAUGCCUGUUUGAGGGUCAGCCUAUAAAAAUCGCCAUCGUUGCUGUUUUUCGGUGGCGUUCGUCGGUAAUUGGGUCAUUUUAAAUUCUUUUGAUUUAAGCGUCUUAAAAUUUUCUUUUGGUUCUAUGUACGUUUCUAUGAUCUAUUUUUUUACAUGUUUAAGUUAUCGAUUUUUACUAGUCGUGACCAUCAUCUCGUCUCGCGUCCU
Molecule: unclassified non-coding RNA, 253 nt
Filed under: Glomus sp.
Lineage: Eukaryota; Fungi; Glomeromycota; Glomeromycetes; Glomerales; Glomeraceae
Description: partial contains 5.8S ribosomal RNA and internal transcribed spacer 2
Rfam family: 5.8S ribosomal RNA (bases 1-65)
Source: RNAcentral